Non-coding RNA from Hordeum vulgare subsp. vulgare (domesticated barley), 140 nucleotides. The record is from Rfam. Lineage: Eukaryota; Viridiplantae; Streptophyta; Magnoliopsida; Poales; Poaceae.
GGUGUUAAGGAGUGCCGAGGUUGUCUCUCACGUCCUGGUUGGCCUCGACCUCGACUACAAUCUGGUUGUCUCAGCUCUUGCAGCUCGGAUCGAAUCGGUGACUGUCCAAGAACUCUUCAACCAACUGCUCAGCUUUGAUG